RNAcentral lists this ribosomal RNA (206 nucleotides) under uncultured bacterium. RNAcentral's name for it is "partial 16S ribosomal RNA". It matches the Rfam family "Bacterial small subunit ribosomal RNA", at positions 568 to 774 of the family's 1533-position model. The record is from RNAcentral.
UGCGUAGGUGGUUUCUUAAGUCAGAGGUGAAAGGCUACGGCUCAACCGUAGUAAGCCUUUGAAACUGGGAAACUUGAGUGCAGGAGAGGAGAGUGGAAUUCCUAGUGUAGCGGUGAAAUGCGUAGAUAUUAGGAGGAACACCAGUAGCGAAGGCGGCUUUCUGGACUGUAACUGACACUGAGGCACGAAAGCGUGGGGAGCAAACA